This 303-nucleotide ribosomal RNA is filed under the name Dikerogammarus haemobaphes. RNAcentral describes it as "partial 16S ribosomal RNA". The record is from RNAcentral. Lineage: Eukaryota; Metazoa; Arthropoda; Malacostraca; Amphipoda; Gammaridae.
CGGUAUUUUGACCGUGCUAAGGUAGCAUAAUCAAUUGUUUUUUAAUUGAAAACUAGUAUGAACGGUUUAAUUUACUUAAUUAGUUUGUAAUUUUUAAUAGUAAGUUAAAUAUAAAGUAAGAAUUCUUUAAUAAAUUAGGGGACGAUAAGACCCUAAAAGCUUUAUGAUCGGCAUUUAAUUGGUGAUAGCGGUGUUAUUAAUUCACUGGGGCAGUGAGUUUAGGUAUAUUUAAGUAUAAUUAAAAGCUCCUUUAAAUAAAGAUUUCAUGUAUAAGUUACUUUAGGGAUAACAGUGCAAUAUAUU